Molecule: ribosomal RNA, 1369 nt
Filed under: uncultured bacterium
Lineage: Bacteria
Description: bacterial SSU rRNA
Rfam family: Bacterial small subunit ribosomal RNA
Source: RNAcentral
GACGAACGCUGGCGGCGUGCCUAAUACAUGCAAGUAGAACGCUGAAGAGAGGAGCUUGCUCUUCUUGGAUGAGUUGCGAACGGGUGAGUAACGCGUAGGUAACCUGCCUGGUAGCGGGGGAUAACUAUUGGAAACGAUAGCUAAUACCGCAUAAAAUUGAUUAUUGCAUGAUAAUUAAUUGAAAGAUGCAACUGCAUCACUACCAGAUGGACCUGCGUUGUAUUAGCUAGUUGGUGAGGUAACGGCUCACCAAGGCGACGAUACAUAGCCGACCUGAGAGGGUGAUCGGCCACACUGGGACUGAGACACGGCCCAGACUCCUACGGGAGGCAGCAGUAGGGAAUCUUCGGCAAUGGGGGGAACCCUGACCGAGCAACGCCGCGUGAGUGAAGAAGGGUUUCCGAUCGUAAAGCUCUGUUGUAAGAGAAGAACGGGUGUGAGAGUGGAAAGUUCACACUGUGACGGUAUCUUACCAGAAAGGGACGGCUAACUACGUGCCAGCAGCCGCGGGUAUACGUAGGUCUCGAGCGUUGUCCGGAUUUUAUGGGCGUAAAGCGAGCGCAGGCGGUUAGAUAAGUCUGAAGUUAAAGGCUGUGGCUUAACCAUAGUAUGCUUUGGAAACUGUUUAACUUGAGUGCAGAAGGGGAGAGUGGAAUUCCAUGUGUAGCGGUGAAAUGCGUAGAUAUAUGGAGGAACACCGGUGGCGAAAGCGGCUCUCUGGUCUGUAACUGACGCUGAGGCUCGAAAGCGUGGGGAGCAAACAGGAUUAGAUACCCCGGUAGUCCACGCCGUAAACGAUGAGUGCUAGGUGUUAGGCCCUUUCCGGGGCUUAGUGCCGCAGCUAACGCAUUAAGCACUCCGCCCGGGGAGUACGACCGCAAGGUUGAAACUCAAAGGAAUUGACGGGGGCCCGCACAAGCGGUGGAGCAUGUGGUUUAAUUCGAAGCAACGCGAAGAACCUUACCAGGUCUUGACAUCCCUCUGACCGCUCUAGAGAUAGAGUUUUCCUUCGGGACAGAGGUGACAGGUGGUGCAUGGUUGUCGUCAGCUCGUGUCGUGAGAUGUUGGGUUAAGUCCCGCAACGAGCGCAACCCCUAUUGUUAGUUGCCAUCAUUCAGUUGGGCACUCUAGCGAGACUGCCGGUAAUAAACCGGAGGAAGGUGGGGAUGACGUCAAAUCAUCAUGCCCCUUAUGACCUGGGCUACACACGUGCUACAAUGGCUGGUACAACGAGUCGCAAGCCGGUGACGGCAAGCUAAUCUCUGAAAGCCAGUCUCAGUUCGGAUUGUAGGCUGCAACUCGCCUACAUGAAGUCGGAAUCGCUAGUAAUCGCGGAUCAGCACGCCGCGGUGAAUACGUUCCCGGGCCU